AGAGUUUGAUCAUGGCUCAGAUUGAACGCUGGCGGCAGGCCUAACACAUGCAAGUCGAACGGUAACAGGAAACAGCUUGCUGUUUCGCUGACGAGUGGCGGACGGGUGAGUAAUGUCUGGGAAACUGCCUGAUGGAGGGGGAUAACUACUGGAAACGGUAGCUAAUACCGCAUAACGUCGCAAGACCAAAGAGGGGGACCUUCGGGCCUCUUGCCAUCGGAUGUGCCCAGAUGGGAUUAGCUUGUUGGUGGGGUAACGGCUCACCAAGGCGACGAUCCCUAGCUGGUCUGAGAGGAUGACCAGCCACACUGGAACUGAGACACGGUCCAGACUCCUACGGGAGGCAGCAGUGGGGAAUAUUGCACAAUGGGCGCAAGCCUGAUGCAGCCAUGCCGCGUGUAUGAAGAAGGCCUUCGGGUUGUAAAGUACUUUCAGCGGGGAGGAAGGGAGUAAAGUUAAUACCUUUGCUCAUUGACGUUACCCGCAGAAGAAGCACCGGCUAACUCCGUGCCAGCAGCCGCGGUAAUACGGAGGGUGCAAGCGUUAAUCGGAAUUACUGGGCGUAAAGCGCACGCAGGCGGUUUGUUAAGUCAGAUGUGAAAUCCCCGGGCUCAACCUGGGAACUGCAUCUGAUACUGGCAAGCUUGAGUCUCGUAGAGGGGGGUAGAAUUCCAGGUGUAGCGGUGAAAUGCGUAGAGAUCUGGAGGAAUACCGGUGGCGAAGGCGGCCCCCUGGACGAAGACUGACGCUCAGGUGCGAAAGCGUGGGGAGCAAACAGGAUUAGAUACCCUGGUAGUCCACGCCGUAAACGAUGUCGACUUGGAGGUUGUGCCCUUGAGGCGUGGCUUCCGGAGCUAACGCGUUAAGUCGACCGCCUGGGGAGUACGGCCGCAAGGUUAAAACUCAAAUGAAUUGACGGGGGCCCGCACAAGCGGUGGAGCAUGUGGUUUAAUUCGAUGCAACGCGAAGAACCUUACCUGGUCUUGACAUCCACAGAACUUUCCAGAGAUGGAUUGGUGCCUUCGGGAACUGUGAGACAGGUGCUGCAUGGCUGUCGUCAGCUCGUGUUGUGAAAUGUUGGGUUAAGUCCCGCAACGAGCGCAACCCUUAUCCUUUGUUGCCAGCGGUCCGGCCGGGAACUCAAAGGAGACUGCCAGUGAUAAACUGGAGGAAGGUGGGGAUGACGUCAAGUCAUCAUGGCCCUUACGACCAGGGCUACACACGUGCUACAAUGGCGCAUACAAAGAGAAGCGACCUCGCGAGAGCAAGCGGACCUCAUAAAGUGCGUCGUAGUCCGGAUUGGAGUCUGCAACUCGACUCCAUGAAGUCGGAAUCGCUAGUAAUCGUGGAUCAGAAUGCCACGGUGAAUACGUUCCCGGCCUUGUACACACCGCCCGUCACACCAUGGGAGUGGGUUGCAAAAGAAGUAGGUAGCUUAACCUUCGGGAGGGCGCUUACCACUUUGUGAUUCAUGACUGGGGUGAAGUCGUAACAAGGUAACCGUAGGGGAACCUGCGGUUGGAUCACCU
Molecule: ribosomal RNA, 1529 nt
Filed under: Escherichia coli
Lineage: Bacteria; Pseudomonadati; Pseudomonadota; Gammaproteobacteria; Enterobacterales; Enterobacteriaceae
Description: bacterial SSU rRNA
Rfam family: Bacterial small subunit ribosomal RNA
Source: RNAcentral